UGCAGGUGUAGCUUAGUGGCAGAGCACUUGCCUAACAUACGCAAGGGCCCGGGUUCCUUCCCUAGCACUGCAA
This 73-nucleotide transfer RNA is filed under the name Marmota monax (woodchuck). Its description in RNAcentral is "tRNA.Val". The record is from RNAcentral. Lineage: Eukaryota; Metazoa; Chordata; Mammalia; Rodentia; Sciuridae.